GCCGGCAACUAGCUCUCUGCAACUCAAAAUGGUCGCCCACUGAAGCUAAGCAGGGCUGAGCCUGGUCAGCAGUACCUGGAUGGGAGACCACAUGGGAAAGCUAGGUUGCUGCCAGAA
RNAcentral lists this ribosomal RNA (117 nucleotides) under Danio rerio (zebrafish). The record is from RNAcentral. Lineage: Eukaryota; Metazoa; Chordata; Actinopteri; Cypriniformes; Danionidae.